GCGACCUCGGGCGGGGGGGGGGGCGUGCGUGCGGCCCCUGCCCUCAGCCCUGACAGCAGUGAGUGGCGUGCAGUAACAGCGGGGAGGAAGGCGCACAUCGGGAUCCUGCAGCAUGAAACAAGAACCCCUUCGGAGCGCAGCAGGCCACACUGAAAAGGGUGCAUACCCGGUGCGGUGCUCUGCAUCCCGGGUGGUGCCGAAGAUGUGGAGUGUCGGAGGUGGCAGAAGCGCCGCAGCUUGGGACAUUUCAUCAAAACCAGCGGAUUGCAUUCCUGCACUGAGAUACACACUGGAUUGAAUCCUGGAUUGAAUACUCUGCAUACCUCCACUGAGAAGUCCUUCAGUUUAGCAGCUGCUGUACUCUGCAUUGGACAUUACCCAGAUAAGGCGAACAAAGGGCAAGUGCAAGAAGUCAGCUGUGGAUCAUGGACCGUUUCAUGGCGAUGAUGAUGUGUGGUUUGUUGAGAGGAGUCUUCAGGGACUGAACAUCUGUUUGUAACAUUCUGAAAGAGAAAGAAAUGAGUGUAGAAGAUAGGCAAUAGCACUCAUGUUUUGUGAAAUCUCUAAGCACAGAAGCAGUCGAACAUAAAAUAAGCAUAAAAUGAAUGAUAAUUGUUACAAAAAGGUGUAUAAAAGCAGCUGCAGGAAGAAAACCGUCUCCUAGAUCCCACAAUGGCUGUAGUAAGCUUGAAAUGGCUCAAUAAAGUCUCUGCUAAUACUA
Pseudophryne corroboree (corroboree frog) is the source of this 721-nucleotide long non-coding RNA. RefSeq lists it as uncharacterized. The transcript is spliced from 4 exons. NCBI's taxonomy places the organism in Eukaryota, Metazoa, Chordata, Amphibia, Anura, Myobatrachidae. The record is from RefSeq and is a predicted model, not a curated record.